Long non-coding RNA from Polypterus senegalus (gray bichir), 490 nucleotides. RefSeq lists it as uncharacterized. The record is from RefSeq and is a predicted model, not a curated record. Lineage: Eukaryota; Metazoa; Chordata; Cladistia; Polypteriformes; Polypteridae. The transcript is spliced from 4 exons.
UAUGACGUCACGCCGCCGUCCUCUUCCCAGAGUCCACCGCGCCACUUUACCUCUGUCGCCGCUUCACUUUGACGCUCAUCAUGAUUCCUCCUGUGCAAGUGUCUCCGUUGAUUAAGACGGCUCGAUGGUCAGCUUUGCUUGUGGGACUAAUAUAUGGCAAGAAGAGAUAUGAUUACUUAAAGCCAAUUGCAGAAGAAGAGCGGAGGAUAGAGGAAGAAGAAAAGAAGCGACAUGAGGAAGCUGAGCGUAUAGCUAAACAAAUUGCAGAAGCUAAUGAGGACACAAUCCUAAAAUAAAGACUUGUGGGUGAAAAUAUUUAUGUGAACUUUUGAAUUAUUACUUCAUCUGAAAUGUUUAAUGUAGCUGUUUGGUCAGUGUACCGACUCUAAGCCUGGAAUCUGGUGUUCUGGACUGUGUAAUGUGUCUGCUACUUCCACACUUUAACAUGUAAAGAGGUAACAUUUCUAAAUAAACUGAAUUUGUCCUACUA